GGCUCCGUUUCCCUCCUCGCUCCGCUCUCGCCGUGCAGUGCUGCGUGGCGCCGGCAGCCCGAGCAGAGGGAGCUCCAGCCCCACGCAGCCGCUCCGGCCGCCGCCAGCAGCUCGGAGCCCCCAUCUGCAGGGCGGGUGGUGCUGGGGGGAGGCGAGGGGAAAAUAAAAUAAAGGCAACACCCGGGUCAAUGCUCGGCUCCGCUCGCCGCCAGCACCUCGCUCAGUGAACUGGAAGAUGGAGAUGGAUGUUAAGGGAGUUUCUCCGUGCCCGGAGCCCAUCCCCCCGGCGGCGGGGGCUGGCGGCUGCCCGCACCAGCGCCCGCACCACCGCGAUGGGCAGCCCGCCGAGCCGGCCCCCGCCGCCGACAGCGGCCACCCGGAGCGGCGGCACAGCAGCGACAAAGAGGACAAGAAGGCAUCUACACUGAAACUGUCUGGAUUUCAUUGGGCAUGGUGCCUGGUGGUGGCUGAAAUCUUCUGAAAUACAUUCUAGAGGAGGCAGCAGACCUGUGGCUAUGGCUCCUUUGCGCAUAAAUGUUAUUGUGUGUUUGUUUGACCAUGGUAGGAUAUUUAAUGUGUCAUAGAAACACAUUUUGUAUGCUCAGACUCAGUGUCAGUACCACCACAGAACUUUUCAGCCAAAUGUAUUUUCCCUCAUUUGACCCUUAAAAAAAAAAAAAAAAAAAAGAAAGAAAAAGAAAAAAAAAAAAAAAAAAAAAAAAAAAAGCACAACCCCAGACUUUGAGAAAAUGUAAUUUCCUGUGAAAAAUGUACCCUACUGUCUUCUUCUGGGGGAAAAGGGAACUUUGUUAUAUCCAUUGUUGUAAGUGAAAUCCAGUGUACAGCAUGCUAAGUAAUUGCUCAGUUAAAUGUCAGUGUGAAUCCAGAAAUCCUCAGUAGAGUAAAAAAUAAAAAUAUUUAUUUUCUCUAAAAGCUUCCCUGUAAAAUUAUUCCAAAGAUUUUCUUCAUCAGACAGCACAGAACAAACAGAUGUGUGCCUCUUCACUUCUCAGCCUGGUGGUGGGAUUGUUGGGAAUUUUGGCCAAGCGCUCUGAAAAUAUUCUGAGUUUCCAAACAGAUGAAACCCACCUGGCUAACCAAGGAUGUGCCUCAUCUUUGGUGAGCUGGAAACCUGCCUCCAAUGGAACUGCAAAGACAACUGGUGCACACCUUCACCACCCACAGGGUCUGGGCAGGAAGUUGGAUAAAGCUGUUCAGCUGAAGUAGUUAGUUGUUUUCUUCCUCUUUCACGUGCAGUGACAUCUUGCCUUUUGAAGUAUACAUCAUUUUUUUUCUUCAACGUUAUGUUACCUGUGCUUUCCAUUUUCAUUCUGGUUUGUAUAAUUUUCUUCUUUCACACUCUUGAUUUUUCAAACACCAUUUCCUUUUUCUUUUUUCCAGUCUUUCAAAUGAGCUGUUUGGUCUUCCAUAUACAUAAUUUUCUAGAUUUGCCUUAAAAAUAGUAGAGGAAAGCUUGUACGGCAGAAUAGCAUUUGCAGUACAGCGCGUCAUCCUGUAAACAGACUAAGCAAGGCAUUAUUCACAAGGAGGUGAGGUAAUAUUCAUUGCUGCAAAGUUCUUAACUGUUCAUUCUUAACUCUGGAUGCCUGGGUUCCCUUUUAUGGAGUGCCUGUUUACUCUUGUAUAUUUUUAUAGAGUAAAAGGCUGGUGUGGAGAAUGAGGGUGUUAUGUGCAGUAAAGUUAUAAAUAACAUUGGCUCUCAGGUUAUUUGCAUUAUAUCCACUUGCCAGAAUGUGUAACAUUAAAUAUAAAACAAACAGAAAAAACCCUUAAAAAUAUUUUAAAAAUGUACACACAUACAAAAAUAAAACAGAACAAUGGAUGGCUUGGAUAAGAGAUCUAAAGGAAAUGCUGGGGAAUAUAUUUCUUGGGGAGUAUUCCCUACCUAGUUAAUAACCCAGGCAGAAGAUUGCUUACUCCUCCCACAGCCUCAGAUCAAACGGAAUAAUAAAGCCAUAAAGAUGCUGGCAUAAGGAAGAAGGAGGGUUACUCAGCACCCAUCAUACUCAACUGACAGGCAAAUGGGGAACACGCUGGGAGCAGAGCUGCCCUCCUGAUUGAGCUGGUGACUCCAGGGUGGGUGAGAUGAAAUGCAGCUGUGAUGGAGAAGGGGAAGCAUAUACAUAGGAUUUGUUAUUUCUCUCUUUUUAUUCUGUGUGCUGUAUACUUUGGGGUAAAUACACACACACAAAAAUGUCUUUUGACCAACAUUUCAAUCGGUGUGGUAGUAUUUGGUUUAAUAAUGAGACGUUCAAUAGCUUAGCAUUGGUGAGCACACGAUGUGCAGGUGAGGGACCCAUGGGAGAGCUGUUGUAGGUUCUCCCACUGACUGUGUGAGGGCUCACAUGGAACAAAGAUGCUGAGAUCCCAGCCCUGCUCCUGCAAGUGAAAGGGAGGCAAACCAGGUCAGGGACGUUCUGAGUCCUGAGAAAGCACUUCUUGUCCUGUGAGGGCUGUCAGACAGUUUUCAGAGUAUGUCUGUGCAUGUGAUCUUUUUCAGUGCUAAAAUUUAUUUGGGAAAGUGUAAUAACAGCAGUACGUCCUUGUGAUUUUAUAGCAUUUUUUAUUAUGGCUAUAGUUUACAAUAACCUUGCUGUCAUACUGGCCUCUACUAUGGCUUCAGUAGCCUCUGAUUCUCUCUCUAAGAUGAUGGAAGUGAAAUUGGACCAUUUUGUAUAUGCCAACUUGUCUUUCCCCCUCUCAUUCCUUCUUCUCAAAUGGUGAUUGUGUCAAUGGGAUUCUUCUGGCUUGUUCUUUCCCAGCAUUCAUCCUCAGAGGUACACGGUGUCUGGGUUGCCUUUCCUCAGAAUAGAGGGAAUAAAUAUCAGUUGACAAAGCUGACUCUUCUAUGCAGCUGAAAUCGUGGAAGACAGUGCCCUUCUCUUUUUUUUUUCCCCUGUUCUUUAUGCAUUCCUGAUUCCCAUCCUGUAUCAAAAUCUCAAAUCUCUGCAUGGCAGCUGUUUGUUGUUUAGCCAUUGCUCUACUUGAGGGUGGGAAUUUAACACCUGAGGGGCUUUAAGGCAAGAGAAGUCCUUGAAAGACUCCUAGAAGAACAGACCAUGUUUUGGAUACCAGAAGUAAAACAGAAACAGCAAUGAUGCUGUAUCGGUGCAUGGCAAAUCUAUGAAGAGAGCAGAACAGUACCAGCACAAGCAAAGCCCCGGGAGAAGCACUGCUUUGGCUGAUGUCUGUGACUCCUCACACACUGCAGAGUGCUCCAACAGCAAACCUCUGCUAGACUGAUGGGUUCCAUAUGCCAGAGGGCUUUGAUUUGUGGCUGCUUCAGUGGUGAUCUGAGGCUUGUGUCUCUUCUAUAAAUUCUGCUAAAACCAGAGCUUCAUCUGUGAAUCACUCACAGGCACAGUUAACUAAUUCAGAGAUAUAUUUAAGCAACACUGCAUCUGGACUUGGCAACCAAUGUGAAAUCCUCAUUUAAAAACAAUAGUAAAGUACUGGAGAGAUUAUGACACGAUGUAGUCAACCAACGUGUAUUUUACAAUGCAAGCUGACAUUUCAGUGAUCUCCUAGAAUGGAUACUUAGCUGGAGAAGUUAUGAGUAAUUGCAAACAAAAUGCUGUGAGUGACCACUCUUCAACAAAGCUGUAGAGAAAAGAUUACAGCAACUGGGUCAGAGGCAAAACGCUGUUGUGACUGCAGGCUGGGGAGGAGAGGAAAAGCAGAGAGUUAGGCUAAUCUGAUAAGGUAGAAAGAGACCUGAAAUUUGGCUUUAGACAUCUGCAAAUUGACUGAGAUUCCUGUUGUUAACCCAUUUAUUGCUGGUGUUGAGAGUGGGCUGGAGUGGUGAAAUAACAAAAUCUGAGUCUGAAACAAUUAUUUUGUCUGCUCAGAAGCAGUACUAACUAUGAAUAAUUUAAAAGAACUGUAAAAUUGUCUGAAAAAAUGGGCAGAGCUGUGCUGGAUAGAGAUUAGAGGUGAAUAAAGCAAGAGAGAGUGACUGAGUGAGAGCAGUUGAUCCUGCACAAUCCAGAAGGGCUGAGUUAGAUGUUGCUCAAAGUACAGCCAUGAUCAUAACCCAAAUGCAAUACUAGGUUGCUUAUCUUUCAAGAAUAGUAAGAUAUUGAGUAACUGGGAGAGUAUCAUCCGGCAUUUUGUAUAAAGCCAUGCCUGUGCUCUCAGCUAGAGCACAGCUUGCAAUUUGGACCUCCAGAGCUCAAAAAGAAUGGGACUGAAAGAAGGGGAUUAGGAAAAGGGUGACAACAAUAUUCAAGAGCCUAGGAAAACUCCUGACAGAGGAGUGACUAAAAAUUUUACCUUAGAAGAUAUAGGAAAAUAGAAACGGUAGAAGUCUGAAGGAUACUAAAUAUGCUGGAGAGGAGAGAUUAGGAGCAUCUUUUCUUCUCUUACGAUGGCAUAAAGCCACAGGGGCGCUAGAUGAAACUUCACAGUUGUUCAGAAAGAUACUAACUAGGUCUAAUCAGGGAGCUGAUACUAAUGUUUAAAGCUUCAUGUCAUAAACUCAACUUUAAUAAGGUGUUAAGAAGGGGAGAGGAUAGCACCAGGUCUACAAAAGCCGAAAUCCUGACAAAAGUGUAUCUUCAGAGGGGUUGUUGCUUAGUUACUUCAUGCUCCAGUUUUAAGACUGUUACUUGAAUUUUACCUGAUUCAUCCAUCUUCUGAAAUCCUGUUUACAUUCUGUAAGGGAAGUUAAUAAUUCAGUGAACUGUGCUAAUUUACAAAAAUAAAUAAAUAAAUACAAUAAAAUCAAGUCUUUGAUAGAGAUGUCUAGUGCUUGUGCUAUUACAGUGUCAUUCAGCUUCUGUGCAAUUUUAACAUUUAAAAUACCUUUUCUGCUGUAAUAUUUCAUGAUUCUGGUUCAUGUGAUUUGGAGAAAAGCUGUGCUCUUACUUGCUUAAGUAGCUGGCCUAUAGCCAAUUGCUUAGGUGUAUGUGAAACAAACGGGGGUGUGUGGAUGUUUGUGUGCACACAAAUAAAUUUUUAGGGAAACAUUGUAGGUUAUUUUUCUGUAGGAUGCAAAUAAGAACAAGGCAGAUUUUUUCUUUUCCAGUGGCUUUCACGACUUCCUUCUUUCAGAGCUGUACAUAGAUGGCUCUUUCCCCAGUGGGUCGUAGUUCCCUGCACGGUGUCAGAAGGAUGACCGCUGCUUUUGAGAAGCCGUUUCUCUAAGCAGAUGCAUCCUUUUUCUCUUCCUUUCACAAAUAUUUGUCUGCUGUGCUGGGUUCGUGCAUUCCCUGUGCCAUGGCAGUGCAUGAGUUAAGUCUUCUGAGAGGCAUGAUGCAGCUCUAUAGUCAUAUGCUUGUUGAUGAGAACACAGAAGAUAAUGCAAGGCCUUAGAUAUUUUUGCAGUUCUUUCAGUACAGAUAUUAACUAAACAUCCAAGUGCCCUUUGAAUUGAUUUGAAGUGUAUGGAGACAAGGAACAGCUGAUCUCUGAAAAGAUCUGUCAUACAAAGCCUUCCCUCUGGUUCUCUUGCUCUCAGCAGCCCUCAAGAAAUUAGCUAUAUAUUUUUAAAUAAGACUAACAGGAAUUCUGAAGCAUGGUUCUUCCCUCUGACAGAAAGAUUUUUCCCGUUUUUCUUUUUUUCUUCUCCUUUUUUCUUAAAGAAACAUGAAUGCAUUAAUUACAUUUUAAAAUGUAAAUAAUGUUAAGGACUUUCUCCAGCUUGUGAAGAGAGAAUUGUUUAUUUUAGAAAAGUAUGUUUUUCCAGAUAGAGAUCAAUUACUAAAUUAUUCAUUUUUCCUCCUUUUCCAUUUUAUUGCAGGUCUCAUUUUUAGGUGGCUGGAAUGAUUAAUGGGAUGUGCUGGGUUAAUGCUUCGUGUUUGGGUACUCAAAUGACAGAAGCAUCUUUGUGCAAAGCUUUUAGUGUGGAGGCAGGAUUGGAAGAUAUUCUGAAGGCAGCUGAUUGGCCAUGGCACUUCCACUUCUUUCAAUUUAGCCAUAAAUCAAUUGUGAGUGAUUUUCCCACAGUAAUUUUUCAUAUGGUUUGAACCUGGGUAAUGAACAUCCUUGUCCCGGCGUGAAACUGUGAUUUUUCUAGAUCUUGUUGAAGAUGUGAUCAAGAUUUAUGAAGGAUGACGAUGUAAAUCCAUUACAUUUUCCUCUCUCAUUUUCCUCUCCACCUCUUCUCUUUACCCAUCUCCCUGCUUCCCUCCUUCCCUUUUUCCUUCCCCAUACCUCAUAACCCAAGGAGCUUUAAAAUGUCCACUAGAGUACAGCUAUCACAUUGCAGUUGGCUCUUACUGCAAGAAGAGUCAUUUGUCAGUGACAUAGCAGGAAACAAUAGCAAUACAUAGCAAUAACCUAAAUAAAUGUAAGAUGGUUCAGAUCAAGUAACAGUAGGAUGUAAGCAACUUCCUACAGUUCCGAACAUUUUUUUCUUCUUAAUCUGUUGCGAUUUCUUUUAAUGUUGCUUGAUAUCAAAGCACAGUUCUGCUUAAAAAAGAACUCUGUAGAAAUGAUAUUGUGGAGUCUUGUGUUCAUUUUGGCUCCUCAGUUUCUGUGUCAAAUGUUCUCAGCUUGAAAGUAAAAGAAAACUGUUGUUUUGUUCCUGGCAGUCCCCAGAUCUCUUUCCCGUACUCUUGCAUUCAAGGUGGAGCCAUUUCUGCCCCUUGUUCUCUACCUGUCUUUGCCAUCGACUGAAGUAAAGCUUCCAGUACUGGGUCUGCUAAUGGUGCCCUUUGCUCUACCACAGCAAACCCACUUGACAGUCACAUUGGAAUACUGCAUUUAUGUAUUGUGUAAUAUUGUGUGGUAUUGUAUUUCUGUCUUGCUUGGUUGGUAGAUGUAACAUUGAACUGUGAUUUAUUAGACCUGGGGCAGAGCACUUUUCCAUUACAAGGUCCAGCUAGGUCUCUCAGAGACAUUUGGCAAAUCAUAUGUUAAUAAGCACCUUUGUUUUUCAUCCAGUGAUAAAUACACGCAGGCAAGAAAAGUCGUUUGGCCACAGUCUGCCUGAAAUUAAGUUGCAGAUUGCAUCUGGCCCUUGGGCAAGGAAUUCCUUGUUCCUGUAUUAGACAGUGUCUAAUAGUAGUUGAAAGAGAGAUUUUUUGGAAAUCAUUCUGCAAGUGACUCUGGAGAGACAAUGAAUGUAAAUUCUUGCAGACUUACAAAGACUGCAGUCAGAAUAUUGAGUGAGACUCAAAGUGCAGCAUAGUGGUUUUGCUGUACAUGACAGGCUUCAGAGAUUUAGUAUUCAAAAGAAUGUGGGAAAUUGGGUCAUUUUUGUACAGUUGAGAAAAGAUCUGAGGUUACCAACUCUCUUGUUCUAACCAUGCAGGAGCUCUGAGUCUGGAUUAGGAGGAAAUCUGAACAGGAUUUUCCUCUGCAUUUAACACGAAAAUCUAAUAAAUUAUACUUAACUCAGUGAAUGAAAUUCUGCCAACAUUGAAAUUGAUGUCAAAAUUUCCAUUUGCUUUUUUGGAAAUAGGAUGUCACUCUAUCAGCAUAAAAACAAAGUAGGCUCUCUAAGUCUUACAGCCAGUUAUUUCUGUCAGAAUGUACUCGUUUUUUUAAUGUCUCAUUUUAAGAUUAGCUGUUUAGUUUUCUCAUAAGUAUUUUUCCUGCCGUAUAAAAACGGCUGAGAUUUACUUUUCAGUAAUUAUCACUUAAUGUGACAUCUUCAAAGCCAAAGGUCACAAAGAGGUGGAGGUGAUUAGCAUCAAGUAAAUAUGUAUUCACUAUCUUUCCUGCGUGAAGUUUGAUUCCCUAUUCCUUUUCCCUCCCCCUUUAUUUUUGGUAAGUAAUACAAGAGGGAGUUGUUGUAACAAUUUUAUAGUCCUUGAAUAGUAUUCAGAGUUUAUGGGAUAGUAUUUUAUAACUACAUUCUGUAAGCAGUGGUGUCUUUUGGAACAGCCGUGAAAUGUUAUAGCAGAGAUUUCAAAAAGACAAGGUCUUGGCAUAGGUUUCUGCAAGGAGGAAAAAUGGCUUAGGAAUGUUUUUGAGCUUGUUGCACGCCGCAGCAGUGGUUCUGAAGCUGCCUUGGUUUUGUGGCUAAUGGAUCUGUUGCAUCAGGUAGGAAUUAAUAGAUGUAGGAAUGGCCUGAAACAGAUCAGAAUGAAAAACCAGAUUGCUCAUGCAUUGUCUCCAGCAGGAGAAAGCACUGUACGUCUCAGUCAACUUGUGUGGAUGCUUCAUUCUUAUAUGUACCCAUUCUUGGGAACUUCCAGAGCAUACAAUAGCAAUAAAUAAAUAAAGAGGUAAAUAAAUAGAUAAAUAAAUAUAAGCAGUAAACAAAUAAAUACAUGCAACAAGCCUCCUUACUUCUCAUUCUCCACGACAUGGCUCUGAAGGAAGUCUUCCUUUGUCCCGUCUUUCAGCAAUCACAUUGUUAGAAAUUAGUGCAACCUGCAGACCUGCACUAUUUUUACAUGGAUCAUGAAGCUAGUAUGUAAGUGAUAGGCAAGAGAAUCUGAGUGGGAGGAGACUGAAAGCAAAUCAAGGAGUUAAGGACAUGUAAGAUAACACAAUGCAUGGCUUCUGUUGAUUUAUAUUCUUAAUUAUUCUUGCCAGUAAUUCACCCUUGCAGCAUCUCAGUGUGCAAGGUAGACAUGUUUUACCCUGUAUGAAUGCCUACUAGGUUUGAUAUUCAUUUAUUUCCUUUAUAUACCCGUUUCUUCAAACAACCUCAGGCCAACAUUUUGUGUUAGUGUAGAGUCUGCCCAGGAAAAUAAAGUAAGCUUUGGCAAGGAAUAAAAAAAAAUCUAAUAGUGUAAUAGCUGUGUAAGUUAAAAUGUAUAAAUUGAUGGUUCACAUAAAGAUUGUAAGACAUUUUGGUUGCAGGCUGUUAACCAUGCUACCAGUACAUUACUGAAGUCUAGCUUGUAGUUGUCAGCAUUUCAGAGUUUUGUUCACUAAUUCAUUACUUUGUUCUAAUCUCUGGAAGAUUUAGCAUGCAGCUACAGUUUCUUGUGUAUUAAUUUUGAGUGUGUUUAAAAAUAGUAUCAAGAAGUGUUUUUCUGAUGUUUGAACCCCAAAAUACCUGAGACUGCAUUCCUUCUGUUGAAUGCCAAUAACAAUUAUAAUAUUACUUGUGUGUUCUGUUGGCUGACAAAACAAAAGCUACAUCCAGAUUUAAGGGCUUAAUGAAAAAUCACACUGGAAAAUGUAAUACUUUGAAAAAUAUAGGCACCUCUUUUCCAAUGCAUGCCUGAAACUGAACAUAAAACAAAGCAUUGCUGUGGUUGUCAUAUGAAAAGAUGGACUUCUCUGUAUUAUCUCAUAAAACAUAUUUUUCCUGUUUCUAAGAGGAACAGAUUAAGACAUUUGAACACCUCAGCUAGACUUCUUAGAGGUUGGCUGGAAGUUACAGAACAUAUGGUGCUUUGAGUAAACAGAGAGCCACUAAGAAGAUAUUUGAAAUCUUUUGGAAUGUAUAAGCCAAUCAAAUUCCCACUGGGAUCUGACACUAUUGCAUGCAGCUCGGAUCACGUAACUCAUGCUUAACCAGAUCGAAGAAAGGAAGCCAGUAGCCUGAACUACUUCUCUGAGUUCCCUCUACAGUCAAGGAGUUAAGGAGGUAAACUCGUUGCACUUACUUCAGGUGUCUGUGAUGGAUUUAAAUGAACAUUCAGCAGCCCGUUUCCUCACUGAUUAUAAGAAGAGUUAGAAGAUUAGUUUAGCAUGCAUGCCCUAGCUUGGAAGUCAACUCAGUAGGUGAGCUCCAUCCCAAAUAUCUUACUUCCCUGCAGUGUGGUGUAGGUGGAGUUGUUGUCAAAUAAGCUUCUCUUUGUGUCAAGUUGACACUCACAGUUUGGAUAGAGUUGUUAUUUGGUGUCUGCUAUAUAAACAAACAUUCAGGGCAAGGGAUGCCCAAACCAGAGGACAGGGAAUGGGUUCUGAUGUUUUUUUGCAGAGAGCCAUGGGUCUGCAGCCUCUGAAAAUGUCUGGGAGGUCCAUGUGGUUUGGGCUGCCAGCUUCCAGCUUUGCCUAGCAACGAGGCUGCUUGCUGCAGAGACUGGAGCACCCUGUUCUGGUUGGAGGUUUGUGAGCUGUUUGCUUGGCUUUGUUGAAAAACACCAAGAUGAGAGAAAUACCCAGUGCUUAUGUUUUCCUUUCUCUUUAGCUAUUGUCACUAAGGCCAGGGUUUGGGGGGACUGGUGUUUCACUUGGAGGACGACAAAGGAUGACUGCUGAUGUGUGCUGUAAAGGCAGUGUUGACAGCAGUGUCAAGCACUAUUCCUAUUAAAGUCCUCUCAUUGACGUCAGUGGCAGCUGAUUUAGGCUUAUGUUGAAGCUUACUGUUAUGAGAAAUGGAGACAGCAUUGGUGGAUGUUGGGUUUAGAGCUGAUGUCCUUACAGAACAAACAGAAAUUAGCAAUAUUUAACAUUCCCCGUUGAAAACUAGUUGUUUCUAAUGAGUUCACCCACUUGCAGAACAUGUCACUGCUCAGACAGGAGGGGCUGCUCUGAAAUGGUUCAGGUACUGAGAGCAUCUGGUCAGUGGUUGCUGUAUGAAAGUUUCCUAUUUUUCACAGCUAAGACAAAUGUCUGCAGUAUAUAACAAUAGCAUGCUACCUACAAUCUUGAUGCAUUUUGUUUUCUUCUUGGCCAAUUGCUUGAAGAGUAUUAGACUUCUGGAAACUGCUUCUCUAGGAAACAGUUAUGUUUAGCACACUGCAGGUGUGAUGUAUCAUCAAAAUCUCAGUACUCCACUUUAAGGUUUCUACAUGCACCCUUCUUUCUCCUUUGUUUGUGGGCAAACCCAUCCCUUUGCCUGAAAGGAAUGUAGGAUGCUUAAUUCCCAAGGACUUUCUGGUCUUCAGAAUUUGAUGUAUAUUGUCUUUUUGGGGAAUGUUUAUGAGAGAGAAAGGAUCUGGGGAACAAAGAAUCUGAUAUGCCACAGAUUAUGAAGAUAAUUUAAAAAAUCUUUCAAUUCCACAUGUAGUGUGAAAUAUUUUUUUGUCUUAUUUUCACCUUCUCUGAAAACAUAGCAAUCUGAUCAGUGCUAGAAAUUUUUUUAUGUCAGUUAUUUGGCAAGCUAACGUGCUGCCUAAUUUCUUGUUUCUUUCUGAGAUGACUGCGAAAAUGGCAAGAAACCAACCUUAGACACAGCUGAUCUUGGCCAAUACGUUAGACCAUCUAAAUUGGACUCUAGAAUAUAACAGAGAUUACUUUUGCAUUGACGAUGGUUGAUUUCUUAGUCAGAGCUCAUAGGCAGAUUUAUUUCUGGCCUGUUUAGAAUAUUUGACAUUGUGAAUAAAGCGUUGCAGCUGAUAUGCCUUCAAGAUCUUGUAAAGAUGCAAGCAAAUGAUAUGGAUUGAAUCCAGCUUCAGUGACUGAACCAUAUUGCAUAACUGCAACUCUUCUCUUGAUAUUCUUUGUAAAAAAGGCUACAGAAUACUGUCCUCUCUCCUAUAUUGGUACAAAUACUAUGAGGGAAAUUAACUGUACUACAGUGUAUAUAGACAUCUUUGCACCCAACACAGAAAUAUAAAACUCCUGACUCUUCCCUUGACUAAGCUUAAAAGACACUCAGCUAAAAAAUGACUGCACUCUGUCAAAAUAAAAAUAAUGGGGAGGAAAGGCAGACCCUUCCAAAAUUAGAGAAUGCAUAACAUCAUGAACAGUUUGUUCAUGAAACUAUUUCAAUUAUUAUGGAAGAUUUAGUUUUCUGGCGUUGUUUUGUUUGUUUGUUUGUUCAUUUGUUUUACCCUUUAGGUCGUGGAUAAUCAGUUAGUGAUUACUCCCAAAAUAUUUCCUUUCUCUUCUUUGCAGAUUUUCUUUGGACAGAUGAUAUUUUUACAGUAUCCUAUUACAUCUUUAACUCAGGUUAUACUCUGUUUUGAAUUGCAAGUCUGAUCUGCAUUGUCAAACUGCUUGUUUAAAUUCUCUGUGUAAAAGUUGGCCAUCAAUAAUAUGCUCUACAUACCUUGUGGUUUUCUAUAAAAGAUAGGAUUAGGUUUUUAAUCAAGCUUUGUAGCAUUUAGGUGAUGAAAUGAUCAUUCUUUUUGUUACCCAAACCUCCCAUGGCAUCCAGCAUUCAUCUAGGAGAAAUGAAAAUGGAAAUGGAAUAUUCAGAUUGCCAGCUCUCAGUUUCACGUUUGUCUCUUGGAGAUCAAGUGUACUAUACAUCAUCCUGAAACUGAUUUGAAUGCUCCACCUAUCCAUACCAAUAAUUCCCCUAAUUUGAGCCCAGGGUUGUCCUUAGCUGAGGAACAGAGAGGAAGUGAAUCGUGAAGCUGGAGGCGUGGGUUAAUCUGCACAUUUCUGAAGUAGGUGAUUAUUUUUGCUCCUGUAAAGAUAUGGCACAGGCUCCAAGUACUACUGUCCUGUUACCAGCUGUCCAGCUUUUUAUCCCAUGCUCAUCCACCUGCUUCAGAACUAGCUACUUAAGUGUGUGUUAUUUAACAUCUUUAGAAAAUGUGUAGAUAAGAGUAUCUGAAUGGGGUAAAAAGUCCCAAACAUCAACAAAAUUCCUGUUGACUUCACCAGAGCUAAGAGUGCAAAUGAAACCACAGCUCUGCACUGUGGAUUACUACUUUUCAUUCAUUCCUGACAUCUCAGAAGGUGGCAUACUCUAAGGAACUUUAUGUUACCUGUUGCCAAAGUGCGUUUUAUGUGGUAGAUCAUAAGAUCAUGCAAAGGCGUGAUUGUAGCUUACAAAGACUGUUUAUUAAGGCUAUCGUUCAUGUUACACAUUUCUUCUCCAUGUCCUUUUGACACAGAAUGAUAAUGUCAAGGAGCAACUGAUUAAAAUAAGCAAACAUUUGGAAUACAUUUGGAUGUUUUUAGGAGCUAACUACAUGACUACACUCUGGAUCUUAGAAAUAACACUAUUCACUGAGAUUAAUAGAUGUUCUUACCCUUUUUUCUUUCUUUUCCACUUCCCCUCUACAUCUCCCCCAGUAAUGUGCCCUAUAGCUAAGGAUUGAGCCUGCUAUAAAAAGGCAGAUGUUGGAGAGUGAAAAAAAAUAAAAAUAUCACUGUUCAUUUUGGAUUGCAAUGGAACAAAAGCAUAUGAGGUAUGGUUCAAAAAUGUGUUAAUUUUGUGAAUGAGCUUAAUUGAAGUUAAUUUUUUUGCCCCCUUGUCAUGAGUUCACUGAAGACAAACAAGAGAUUUAGUAGGUGGCUGAAAAGAGAUGUCCCUCAUAUAGCAGUUUAACAUUUGUAUUUCUUUUCUUUCGUGGUUGAACUUUGCCCUACAUUGUUCCUCUUGUUGCAAAAUACAUUUCCCAGGAGCAGUGUGUGAUGUUUUCCUGCUCUUGGAGAAAACUAAGCAUAUUUUCAAUAAUCUUAAAUCACGAACUGGUGAUAUAUAAGGAACAAUUUCUGUUACCACUGAAUCCUAGAAGAGAUCCAUUGUGGAAAGCUGUUCAAAGCCCAGGGUGCACUUUUCAAAGGUACGUGUCUUUUAAGGGAGCUGGAUUCCUAUCAUCCCAUGAUGUGUCUUUGAAACUCUCCCCAAUGUGACUAAGACCAUGUGUGCGACCGUGUGCCUAAUUUGUGAGUAGUCAUAAUGAUCAUACAGUAAUAGGCAUGCAACUGAGUCUACAUUUUGUUCAUAACUCCCAGUGCCUUUAGCUGAAUGUUCAAAGAGGCUGAAUUCUCACAUCUGCUACUACUUCAGUGGAGCUGUAGGUGCUCUGGGACUGAAAAUCAAGCUACUGACAUACUGAAAAAUUAAAGCUGAGGUAUGUAUGAGUCAAUCACAUGUCUACUGUUCAUUCGUAAGUCAGACUUGCGAGCUGGAUCUUUCUGAGUGUAAUGGAGACUACUGACACAGACUUUCAGGAGAUUUUAAAUUUGAGAAUUUUCUUUUUGUCAACUUAUCAGCCAAACUCCAGCCUUACAUAACCAGUAUUCUUAUUCAAAAAUCACUACCCCCAUUUUCUUUAUUAGCUUAGGCAUCUAGUAACAGCUGAGCUUGAUACAAGCUGCAUUUUCAUUCUUCAUACUGAAUGCUUGCAUGCAACACUUCUGAUGUCAGUGUUGGAUGGUCUGUAGGCUGAUACUCACUUUUCAUACACCAAACAAAAUGAAUAAAACUUGUUAUUCAGCUUACAUCUUCCAAAAGGGCUUUUUCUAUUAAUGUUUUUCAUAUUCUGUGAAUAUUCAUACAUGUUCACCAUUAAGCGUGUGAAUAAUUUCAUUAACUCAUUGGGAAUAUCGGUAUGUGCACUUGAAUGUAUACCUUUGUGCUUGUAGUUAAAGAAGCUUCUUUGUAUUUUUUUCUCCAGCUUCAACCUUUAUAAAUCAUAUGACACUUCAGAAACAUCGUGACGUUGUCUGAAAAAAAUAUGAGACUCUAAAACAAAAUGUGCAUUCUUUUUAUUUGCCUUCUGGUUUUUGAGCUUUUAUCAGCAGCUUAGUGAUGUUUUGAAAACUCAUCUUUUCAAUAACGAAGGCUAAGAGCAUCUGGGUUUUUAUUUUGAAGCAAAGAAAUGAAAUCCUUACAUAUACAUACCAUUGAAGGAACUGGACUUUAACAGAAAUACCAAAUCAGAACACACAAUAUUGGAAUGUGAGAGAGAGGUAAAGGAACCUUAGACAGAGAGCAAAGGAAAAGCAUUAAGGAGAUAGAAUAUUUCUUUCAUGCUUUACAGCUUAGGGUCAUUAAAAUAAACACCCUGGAAACCCUGUGAGUCCUUAAGACAAUGCAGUUUUAGGAGUCUCUCAACCUCACAGCGCUCAAUUUAGGCCCACUAUCAAACAGGUCUGGACUUCACCUGCACAAGAACUGAAUGCGUUCUUGCAGGCACUAAAGGAUUAUUGAUGAGUAGGUGGAAGAAUUUUGUCUCGUUUGGUUAUAUAUGUUGGCAUUUUUCAUUGCAAUAGCUGUAGCUGUUUGUAAUGCUGUCUGCAACCACCUCACUUGAUGAAUUUUUCUGCCCUGCAUUUGCCUUUGAUUCCUGUAGAGCACCCAUCAACUGUGAAGAAAACAGCAGUGCUUAAGCAUAGUCUAUUCAAGUAUAUUCAAAAUGUGUUAUUUUUAGCAUUAUUGUUAAUAUGAAAUGUUCCACCAACCAGCUGGAAUUAUGCAAAUCCUAACACAUGCGUUCCUCACUAAGCUGUACUCUUGGAUGUACUCUUUACAUUCAUUUCGUUUUAUGAAUGUCUUUCCAGCAUACUUCUCUACAAUGGGAGAUUGAAAAGCCUGCAAUUUUCUUCUUGCCUGAUUCUCCCAUUGGGUUUUGUUCACAUUCAAAAAAUAAAUUGAUGUCUAUUUUUUAUUAGUAUAGAUUGAGGAAAAAAAUCUACCUGCCAGCAUAGAUGAAUGGGGUGAAAAAGAAAGGUUCACAAACUUGAAAAACUAUGUUAUUCAAGUAGCUCUUUGGUGACUCACUGUUUUCAGUAGAAAUAUUCAGGGCGGUCAUGGAAGGAGCUCUGAAAGUCUGAGAAAUUUUUUAGUAGCUUGGUCGUAAGCCAGAAGCUUGUAAGCUCCAUCACCUUCACUUGUAUUACCAAAAUAUCAUGUGUUUCAGGGCAAUUUCUGGAUGAGAGGAGAAGGAAGAAGUGGCAGAUCUGCAGUGCUGCCGGUUUUAGACGGGUUUGUUUGUGCAUUGAGAGAACAUAGACAUGACCUUUCUCUUUGUCCUCAUCACACCAGUGUUCUUGCCAUGGGGGCAACACGCAGCCUCUCCUACACAUUCCUCCUUCCCGCUAUGGGAAACUGAUGUGUCAACGAAAGCUGAAGUGUGUGUCCUGCUCCUCAUGUAUUUUUGCAUCCCUGCUGAUUUAUGGAGCAGCCUGUCAGUUCCUUCUGGUGCUUUGGGGUGUAGGAAGGGGUUCUACGUGUCUGCAGUUCACUUGCUGCUAGAACAGCUCUAAUUUUCUUGUUCUUUAGAGCUUACAGUGAGGAGUAGGAGAAUUUCCCAAAAGCUGAGUGGCCUAGGUCCCUGGUCUGAAAUCCCACCAUUAAAUGAUGUUCUAAAUCUUUAUUUUAUUUUCACCUUGCACUGCCUCUUUUAAAGGUUUCUUAGAAAACUCAUUUAAUUUUAAAAACUUAUUUACACCUCUGGUUCACCUUGUCUCCCUAUAAAGGACUUUUCGAAUCUGGUAACUUCAGUAAUUUGUUGCGACUCUUCAUUUUUUGCUGAACUUGUGAUUUCCAAAUUGAAUUGGUACAGAGUUUGUUUGCUGCUGCUGUUUUAGUUUUCUGUGAUGGAAGAUAAGACACACAGCUCAAUAGAACAUUUCAGAAUUUUUUCUGACUAAAAUAAUAAAACAGCUUUGAUCGCUGAUAGUUAAAACCUGAUGAUGCAUUUCACAUUAAGCCUCCAGGGGCAGAAGUGGUCCACCCUGCGUGUAGCCAUACUCUGUGUAGCACCUACGGGUCUUCUCCACAUAGGAAGGCAUCUUGUCUUGCCUUAGGCUGCCUCUCUCCUCGAGCAGGAAGGGACAUUCGGAGCUGUUAUCGCUGUGCAUGAGAGGUUGCUCACUUCUCCAGCAAAUGCAAACUUGCAGGUCUGGUGGGUUAGAUGCACAGUCAUCCAUAUUGACCUGCAGCUCCACGGGAUGGUAGAGGUGUAUAUCCUCUUUAUUUAAGUCAGUCCUUCUAAAUGCUGAUUUUAAGCAUUCUGGCACUGGAACUAUUUCCUCUGGUGUGAUGGUUAGCCAUAAGUGUUAGCCCCACAUGUUAAUAAUAUAAUACUACGUUUGUUUUAUGGCCACUACUAAUUUUUGCUAUUCAUUCCUUCUACCAAUAAAUUUGCUUCUGGGUAGGUAGUUUUCUUAAACUGUUCUUCCUCCCUUAUGUCAGUCUUCUGCUGUGAGUUCCUUCACCAAAUUCAGUAAGAAAGAAACAUUCAUUUGAGUAUAUCCUAUUAAUAGUAGUAAAGUGGUGUCCAGGUCAUUGAUUAGAGGUUCUGUGUGAAAUUGCUGUAUAAAAUAAAUUUCCAGUACAGGCUAUGGGCAAGAUGUACUUGGAAUAGUGUAAGCUGAUAGCAGUACCCCUUUGCUGGCAUUGAUGCAAUAUUAUACAUUGCCUUUUCUUGAAGACACCUCCUGAUGUCUGUUUUAAAUAUUUUUAAUAGGCAACUCAAAAAUCUGCAAGAUUAAUAUUGACCCCAUAGAGCUUUAACUUUCCAUGCAACUGGGAAGGGGUUUCCACCCAGCUGGUAUGGGAUUUCUGGUUUUGCUGGGUGUGUUCCAGCCAUAGUGAUUUCCUCUAUGAGGUUUAUAUCCUCUUUGUGGUAAAUGCUGAGGCUCCAAAAGCAUAUGCUUUUCAAAAUGGGAGUAGAGACGUGUUCAGCAUAAGGCAAUACGUUUAUUACAAUCAGGUUUCUCAUGUUUCUGAAUUAUAAACAAAGAAUUACUUUUUCCUUUGUUGUCUUGCCAUGAAUCAUACAAAAUUGACGUCAAAGGAGUCAUUCAAGGAUUGAUUUGAUUACAUACAUACAUGCAUACAGAGAGAAAAAGAGAUGUUUAUCCUUAAACAGCGCAGCUUAUCUGCCUCCACUGACAAUGGCUCAUAGUGGAUCAUUCAAACAGGAGUGGAUGACUGUCACAAAACAAUCCUCUCUUUUGAAAGAUGGAAACGUCUUAUCUGUCUGAACAUGAAGUCACACAUGUGCCAUAAAGCAGUUAUAUUAAUUACACUUAAAAAAUGUUGUGAGCUAUAGGUUCAGCAAGGUUAUUACAUUGUGUAAUUUCCCCACAGAGAGAAAAUUCUUCCAUAAAAGAAAAGAAGAAAGAAGCUUUUGUGUAAAAUGCCAUUUUUUUGUGUGGAGAGUGAACUCGAUGUGUCGUUCUUUUAUGAAACCUCCUAAUCCAAGGAGAUGAGUUGCCACAGGCUAAUUAUAAAUGAAAUUAAAACGUUUCCUCUUAUCUUGUUCCACCUAUACAAUGUAAGUACAGCCUUCACAAGAAUCAGAGGCACAGGAAUCUGCGUCCCUUCCUCUGAAAGGCAGGUGGGUGCCCACGUCCAGUCUCACUCUGACAAGUGGCUUGUCAACACACCGCUUUCUGAAGGGUACUCUGUUUUCCCACACCUUUUCACAGUGGGUAGUUUCAGUACCAAGCACAGAUAUUAGAGGCUUUAGGCACCUUUACAAUACAAUUUAAAUACUUUUCAGAAGGAAAUCUGGUACAGUUAUCCAGAAUUCAAAUUCAUUUAAAUGGACUAGACUCCUGGCAAUUACCAAUACUGUUUCAUUACAAAACAAAUUGGUAGUGAUAAGGUAUUUGAAGGCAGUGAAGGAAAGCAAUAAAGUUUUGCCAUGGGGUCAAGUCAAAAUAAAACAAUUUGCCUCUGCCUUAAAAAAUGUUGACAGAUUUCAACAUCCAGAGGGAAGGAAUGGGAGACAGUGGAUAUAACACAGAAAAACUUGUCUUAAGCAAUAAGUUGGAGCCUACCAAAGGCUGGUUGCCUAGAUAUGGUGCUUUGUAAGACUGAAUGAAAUUACGCCAGGAACUUUAGAAGUGGAUCAAUACAGUCUCCAAAGAGAGGAGGUUUUCAUUUGCAGGCAGCCUUUUGCAACACGUCUCUUUACAAGCGGACUAGCACUUGGAAGGCCAGCUUCACACCAGUAGCAAGUCAUCCAAAUCUUCAGAGCUCUGGAAGAUGCAAACAGUUGUUUCUAAAUGGAUCUCCUGUUAUGCAGAAGGUUGUUCAGUUUCUCACAUUUUUGCUGCACCUUUGGUCUCCAGCAUUUUUUUUUUUUUGUAGUUUUCUACCUGUUCAAAUUGCCUUUGUGUUUUCACCAACACAGCUGUGCUGAUUGGCACAGGAUUUUAUUUGGAAAGUGGGAAAAUGGCUGGGUCCGUGGCUCAACCCACUCCUUCCGUUCCUUUAUUCCCAUGUGUGGGAGCAGAGGCAAAGUUAAAUUGCAGAGCGCCAUAAUUGCUGAAGAGCAAAGUGCUAAGAAAUAUUGUAAUUGAUAUAGAGCAAAGUGACGGUAUGGUAGAGUGAUGUUAUGUUUCUGAAAGUGGGAGCGUAACUUUUCAAACAACUAUGAAGUGCUUACAAAAUGCCUGAUGUGAAUUGCUUUUCUUCGUUUAGCAAUAUUUAGGAGCUCUGAAUGGUUUUGCUCAAUUAUAGCAGUUAAUUUGAUCUAAUGCAAUUGAUGUAAAUCAUGUAGUUAGCCUAAUUUAUGUCAAUUGAGCCUGCAAAAAUUUGUUUAUAAACCAAGCCCAGAGUGUCUUUCUUAACACCAAAAGUAUUUUUGUGGCAACUGCUGCUGUGAAGUGGAAUACAUAUUGCCAGACAAACAACAUGUCAAUUGUAUUUUUGAUUUCUUUCUGGGUUUGGGUAGGGAAAAGACUUGAAUUAUUAAUUAGAGAAAUGUGACAUUUUAUGGUAAUUUUGUAGUAGAUUUGGGAAUUUCAUUUUUGGAAAAAAAAAAGCUAUUAUGUUCAAAAGGCAUUUGGAGAAAUAGAAUAGUGUUUUCUCACUAAUGCACUUCCAGUAAACACGGAGAUUUAAUGAUUUUCAGAGAUCUAUAAUUAUAUGCUGACAGUUUCUCCACUGUGGGAAGACCACUCUGCUGAGGAACAAUUGUCCCACAUGUGGAUGAUUCCAAAUUCCUUUUGCAAGGGAUUUUGUGGCUUCUGUAUGCAUUUAUUAUGGCAUUUUAAAAUAUCGUGUAGCAGUGUUAAGGCAGUGACGUUUGUUGGCUGAUUUUUCUCUGUCAGGAUUCUGUUCCAUUGAAUCGGUAACAGUUUCUCAGGGAUCAAUGAAAUUAAGCUAGUAUAAAACUGUUGUAAGUGAGAGGAAAACCAGAUUAGAUGCAUGCAGGUGGUUUUAUCUUAUUAUCUCUAUAUCUCUAUCAUCAUCAGUGAAGGCACGCUAUGCAUCUGUGUUUUAAGUUUUUUAAAAGAAUGCCUGUUUUUUUUUGAUACAAAAUGCUUUGAAUAAUACAUCUAGUUAUUGUUGGGUUAAGAAUCUUUGAAAACUAACAUGUGAACAGAGAAACAGCUUAUUUUUCCCUUUCUCUACUGUAUUUAUGUAGGUCGUUUGAGGGGCUCCAAUAGCAGCAACACACAGCAAGCUCCUAGUCACACUUUCUGUGUGCAUAGAACAGCCAUAUGUUUCUUCAGUUUCUCUGUCAGCUUCCCUGUGCUUGUUCCUGCUAAAUGCAGAGCCUGGAAGGCAGACGGGAGGCGUCUCCAAAGCAGGGCAGAAGCACUCGGUGUGACCAGCUAGGCGUGAGAUUCAUUACAUGCAAAUGCUGUCCAGCAGUGUAAAUCAGCCCAUGUGGAAUCUGGGAGUGCGUGUCAGCCUCUCCAAUCUCUGCCAGCGCUGGUUAAGCUGAGAGUCAGUGACAACAAUGCCAUAGACAUGCUCUUCCUAAAGAAAUGAUCCCCUUCCCCCCCCUCCCAAGCUGACUGUGUCGAACAGACAAAAUCCCAAUCAGCUCUAUGGGCAAAUUAAGUCAUUUGGUUUCAUGUGUUCUUAGAACACUGUGUCUUCUUGCUGUACUGCCUCAGUGUAGUUCUCUGGGGAGCUGUCACAAACUCUGUGCAAAUGCAAGUUAGGAAAGAAAAGUUGCUGGCAGGGCCGGUUCCUCGGAUUGUUACUAUCCCCCAAAAAUGUACUCUGUCCAAAAUCCUGAUGAUGCAGUUCAUCUGGCUGAGGGGAAAUGCACACUUUGUUAUACAUAACACAGGCGUGAUUACAUUUUCCAUUUGGUAAAGUCAUAAUGUAGCUCCAAGUCCUCUAAAAAUAGAGACAUGAUUCAAGUUGCAAACAAGAUGGAAGGGUUUCAAAUGGCUGCAUUAUACAUAGAGCAAGCAUAGAGCAAGCAAAGUUAAAUUAAUAGGAAAAAUCUGGUUUGGGGACUAGGGCUGCAUUCUCUUUUUCUAAGCAAAUGCUUAGCUGAGGAAGCGCUGUAUGUCAACAGUUCCACUGCUGCAAGCAGAAAGAAUCUGGUUUACUUAAAAUGCAGACUGUUGCAGGCUUUACCCUCCUGAAAUGAGAAAAAAGAGCAAAGAAACAUUUUUCCUAAGCCACUGACCCAUUUGUUUACCUGCUGAGUGGCCAAAUAUGCCUAUACUAAAGAUACUUGCAUUGGCUGGAAAAUCAGUAUAUAUAUAUAUAAUAUAUACAUACAAUAUUGUCUUGUACCUUUUAUUAAGAUGGACUGAGGCUAUUUUAAUUGCUAGCUUUGCACUUUCCGUCCCCCGUUAUCCACAGCAGCAUUACUGACCUCUGCUAAAUGUGAUUUAAAACUUCACUGCAGCUCUUAUUGUUUAGGCUUGGAUCAAGUUAGUAGGGUGACCUGGGCUCUGGGUGCAAGGUUCCACUAUUCCAGCAACAUCUAAUGGAUAGAUGGGAACUGCAUCUGUCAGGCCAGGGUAUAGGUGCCUCUUAAAAGAGUGGCCACAUUAAUUUUACAGGGAGAUUUACUGAAAGAGAGAGGUUGCAGUUUGUCCAAGAAUACAGAAUGCCUGCAGCAGAACCAUGAUGGGAAAUCCUAGGCUUAUUAAGAGAGUAGAUGCUCCUUAAAACUUUCUGAUUUAUGUCCUCAGCUGUUAGGGCAAUGGACUCGGGGCUCUGGACUUCUAAAUCCCACCUGGAGAUCUGCUCAGCCCUUUGUUUUCUGGGUUUAACAUCUCUAAAAAAGGGAUAUUGGUGAUUCCCUAAUCUGUAAAUCUGGGAAGGAUAAAUUCAGGUAAGAAAGGAGCUGCUUAGGUGUUAUUAUGGAGAUGAAGACAAUUCAGGCUUGUUUGCAAGUCCUUGCUUCCCGAGUAAGGGUUUAGAGGCUUCAGAUCCGGCUGGCCAGGAACUGUUUUCUAAGGACUGAGAGGAAGAAGUUUUCCUUGUCUUUGUACAGCCCCCCAGUGUGUGAUGAGGGCCCACAUUCCCUCAGCUCCUGCAGAGGGAAAUGAUGCUCUUGAAAUAAAUAAAAUACACCUUCUGUAAAGAGUAGUUUGCAAAAUAGUGUAUUUAUAUAAUUAAUGUAUCCCACAAUUAACUGCAAACAUCACGCUCUCUGCAUAAUAAAUAUUUUAAGAUAUGAACCAUACUUAUAUAGGACUAAAUAUUUGAUUUUUCAGAAAUGUAAAAUCCUGUGCAAAGAUCUGAAGCUUCCUUCCAGAUAAUACUCAUACAUGCUGCUGUACAUAAGCACUCAAAUAUCAUCAGUGUGUUUUUGGAGGGAUUAGACAUUGUUCUAAUUUCUUCCCUAAGUUUGCAUUGUUCUCUAUGCUAAAACAAAGCAAUAAGAAGAACAAAAGUCAGCAUUUCAGUUAAGAUGUUUGUCUUCUCAUUGGUGCAUGUGAAUUAAAGCUAAAUGGAAAGUAACAAUAUCAUAGAAAAGGAGAAAGGGUGAAAAACAGAGCAAUGCACUGCAGCACAGCUGAGAGUUGUCUGUAACCUUAACGAGGUUCAUUAGGCUCCUAAUUUGAGCCAAGGUUGAGAUUCUGACUAAACCUGACUUCUCAGAGUUGCAGUGGACCAGCACUGCUUGCUUUGCCUGUCUAGUUAUCCAGGUUUUUCUGUCUGGUCCACUGAGCUGAGACUGGACAUGCACUGCUACAGGUGGGUGCCAAGUGUUUGGGGCUUUGCAAGGCUUCCCUUCUGCCUUCCCAGAGCCUCUGUGCUCUGCUGCCCUGGAGGCUGCACCUCAUCAGGGGCUUUGCAGUUUGGAUUGCUUAAUAGCUUAUGGGGAUGUUGUGAAUCUGCAUUAAAAAAAGAAGGAACGCCACUAAUGUAAGUCCAUUUUAUCUCAUAAUUUCCUGUCGCUAACUGCAGAUAAUGAUGGAAUAAUUCAUGACUAUAUUAGAGCUUUAGAGUAUUGUAAAUUUUCCUAAUCUAGUUUAGCCAAUAGGUACUUCAUCUGGAAAAGGACAAGAAAUUUUCCAAUAACUCUCUCCUCUAUUGUAAAGAAUGUUGAACCUGGUUCUGUGCUUGAAAGCAAUUAGUUUUGAGGCAGUUAGGAAUAAAUUGCUGAUACCCUAGAAUUCUCUUAAUUGCUAUCCUGAUCAAUGACAUGCCUGCUUAAUUGGGAUGAUUGGCAGGCAACUAAUCCUGUGCAGUGCAUUUUAAUUACCCUAAACAACAUAUUAAUGGCCUACCUGUGCUUAAAUAGCACGUCUCCUGUUGUUUUCUACCACUGUUAGCUUUUCAUAAGAGCUAGAAAGAAAGAGCUGGAGCUUGAGAGAAGACAUCCUACUUCUGCAGCCCCCUGCUUUCUUCCUGUAGUCCUCCUGCUUUUAAAUCACUCGACCUCAUCCCAGAUAUUUAAUACAAAAUUAUUGUCUGACAAUUUAUAGACACUUCACGAGCUACAGCAGCGUAUUUCCUAUCACCAUGCAUUCCUCUGCUCCCCCAGUACCUGGAAGAAUUACUCAGUCAGUUGGUUUCUAUUUACAUUGGAUUCUUUGCACUAACUGGUGUGCCACUGCAUGUAACCUACUUAUAUGCAAGCUUCACACUUUGUUUUCUAAUGGUAUAAAAAUGUGUAAUUGGGCAAGCUUGUUGUCUUACUACUAGAAAGGAAUACUAAUAAGGUAUAUUAAUGUUUCCUUGUUAGUAGUAGUGUUCAUCUGAAAAAUGUCAGUGUUUUGAUGAUGAAAGAGAUAGCUGUCUAGAAAAAAAAAAGUAAAUAUACAUUUCUUUUUAAUUAGUCUUAAUUAGAAAACUAAUAGAUUUCAAGGACAGAAGAAGUCAUAGUGAUCUUUUGAGCUAUCUCCCUGGGAUGCAGUCACAUGAAACAAGAGAUCCAGCCUCUGAUGAUACAUCAGUUUGCAUACAGCAGAUAUCCACUUCUUACCCAUCAUCUAGAUCCACUCUAGAGUCAUCCACUCUGUUUUCAAAAGAGAGAAUGUGAUGUUCUCCUCUUGAGUAAUAUAUCUAAAGCAGUUUAAAUCAACUGUGUUCUACAGGUGUCUAAUGUUCUCAAUAGACUAAAAAGGGCAUCAAGGGUGACUAGGUCAGUGUGGUGUAUGCUGAAGUAUAGAUUAGAUAAAUCCCACAGCGUCUCAUGUAUCCCACAAAAAUAAAUAAGGAAUGCUUCAACAGCCACUACCUUAGCUUGAAGGUGUCUGAAUUGACAAAUCCACGAGAUUACCCCCAUGCUGUGGCUCUCUCUGUGCACAUGGCCAGCGCUGCCAUCAUCUGACAAGACAUUUCCAAACUGAGACAGUGAAAAGUGCUCAGUGAGGGAAGUUGCCUCGAGUGGGUGCUGUCUGCACGCAGUCCCAAUGCCUGACAUUCCCAGGUGCUUUGGAGGGCAGCUGUGUGAGCAGAUGAUGUGGGAGCUGAUAACUCCCCUUCUUGGGUUAUAAGGAACUGGGAUUAUAGGGAACACUGUGGGGGUAUUCGUGCUCCCCAGGUAGCACACAGCUGCUCAAUACUUUGUUUUUGCUUAAGCCACGUGAGGGUAAUCAGAGCAUGCCUCUGCUGGCUACCACCUUGUAGGUAUGCAGAGCCCCCAGCAUGUGCCAGUAGGCACUGGUCCUUCAUUAGGAGGAAGAUGUAUCUGUUUUCUUUUUAAUACAUCAGGGAAAGGAAGGGAGGUGUUUUACAUAUGAAUGCACAUUGAUCAGGAACACUUUCACAAACUUUUCUUCUUUUUUUUUUUUUUUUUUCAAUAUAAAAACUGAAGUUGGUUCCUGCCUCAUUUUGGGUACAUCAGAUCCCACUGUCUCGUAUCUGAGAAGACUGCUUUAACCUAAGGCUAUUGUAAAAGGUCAUUGUUCAGUAGAUGUUUGAAAAAUCAUCCCUCUUUUCUCAUUCUCCCUUGUUAAGAAUCCUGAACCACACAGUUGCUGAAUUGAUAUCACAGAGGAAAUCUGCCCAUUCUGUUUCCUUUGCUAUCCAUGCAGCAUAGCAGAGGAGCUUGUCUCUGGCUCUCCCACUCCUCAGAUGUUGGCAGGAAGGCCAGCACUGAGUCUUUCUUAGCAUUGCCCAGUUGCUUGCACUAGAUCUGCAUUCACUGUAAGCAGUUUUGAAGAGAAAUCUGGCAGAAGAAAUGAAUAUCUUGUUUUGGUUUUACAAAUCCAAAUGUAGAAGUCUUCACAUUUCUCAGUUUUCACGUGUGUCCUUAGCCUAAUCACUGGUAAACUUGUGGCUAAGCUGUCUGUGUCAUGCUUCCAGGCUUCACUCACUUAACUGUCUUUGUUGUAAGCGCUGAGUUUGGCAUAGGCCAGUUUUGCUUGGUUAAAUUAAUCUUUUAGAAAUCUUUGUCCCAUGUAAACAUCUGCUGAUGUACUGUGAGUAUUAAAGCAAUGAUCAGGGGGCUGAUUUCCUUUGAUAAAUUAGAAAGUGCCCGAUCCCUUCUGUUUUCAGUUUUAUAGUAAGAAAUAACAACUGUGAUAAGUGUUAAUAAAUACAACUUUUAAAAACUUGCUCUUAGAAAAGAAUAGGCUGAUCCUUUGUUAGAGAUGUUCCUUUCUGCGUAUCUAUUUCAUGUGCAUUUGUUUCUGUUUAUCCUCUUACUGAUGCAUUCCUUGAGAUGUCUUGUAGUGCAAUUUGUGAUGAACAGGCGAAUGAAUUGUUUUCACAGCACUUACAGAUGUGUAAAAUAGCCUCUUUCAAGUUGUCUAUUAAACCUCUGGAGAACUGCGAAAAUGGACUUUCAGUUUUUUACCUUUGCUACACAGCUUUGCAUCCUUCAGUCUUAUUAUUGUCUUUAUAUGUAUAAUCACUACCCCAGGGACAGCCUUCCUUCUAAGUAGCAGCAUGUAGUUGCUGAAUCUGUAUUUUUUUUAAAGAAAUCUUUCUUUUCCUAACAGCUACUCCAGAGAGUGAAGAGAAAAGGACAAGUGUUUUCUCAGAUGUUUGUACGGUGACAAGGGCAGGAGAUUGAGUAGGUUGGUGUAUUAAUGUGCUUUUUUUUUUUUUCCUCAGGAAAACAGAGGAGAAAUGGGAAUAGUGGUGUGUGUGUGUGUGUGUAUAAAUGGAAAAGUAGUCAAAAAACACAGAAAUUAGGUAAAUGUUUGGCACAUAGGGCAAAUGGGAAGGCAGUGAAGUUGAACUUGCAGUGACACUGCAACGAAGUAGAAGAUGGGAGCUGCUGAUGGCUUCCUUGAGGGAAGUACUGGCACACAGUGAGGUCUACGGACCUUGCUAUUUACUGGGGUAUGCAUGCCAUACCUAUAGGAGCACAGGAGAGGUGGGGGAGUAAAGUGAAGAUGAGUUUGACUUUGCCUAUUCAUCCCAGAGAGCACAACAGCGGGAAAGGUGCAGCGGGGCUGUAGAUCAAGUUGUUCCCCAGGUGGGCAUGGGCUGCUGUCAGGUCAGAAGUACACCGAGGCAAAUGUCCCAGUGGUGAAGGAGUAGGGUGAACAGACACAAGCUCUUUGGAUUUGCUUUUUUCCCCUGUGGUGUUACGAUCACAAAAGCAACCUUUUCUUUGACUUGUUUCUCUAUAUAAGGAACAUACGGUCGUGUAGGCUGUGUGUGUAAAUAAGUUUAAGCAACCAGUAUUGUUGUUUACGUGGAGGAGAAUAUGUUGCUAAUAAGGAUGUCAAGAACAGAUGUGCUAGAGGACUGGGGGCCUGUGGGCUUCUGUGUGUGUGUGUGUGUAGAUGUGGUGUAUAUACCUAAUACACAAUGGAGGGCAGUCUUCAGCUAUAUCUUUCCAUAUUUUUCCCUCUGAGGAAUGGGGCAGCCCUUCAAGUAGACUUUUGAUGGCUGUCUUCACAAAUAAUGCUAAUUUUAUCAUAAUACAAAAAGUUUAAAACUUUAGCUUUUGUACAGUAUGAAAUGAAUGAACAGUGCAUCAGAAACAUCUGUCAGGUUAUAGAAUAAAGGCUCAAUUAGCAUUUUUGUGUGGUGUGGAAUAAUUCAUGCUGGGACAUCAAAAUUUGCCUUCUGAAAUGUAUGGGAAACAAACACAUUUUCUGGUCUUUCUUGUUCCUCUCUAUAGACUGGUUCAUGCUGGGGGAGGGUGAAACAGAGUUGAGCCAUGUUAGCACCAGUGGAAAUCGGUGGGGUGCAAUGCAGCCGUAUAAGCAUCUUCAAAGUGCCUUACAAACAGGAAUUAAUAUAUUGAUGUUGCACGGGGAUUCUGUGGUCAAGAUAAUGCUGCUAUCGUAUCAAGAAUUCAAGGAUGUGAUUUUUCAAAAGCACUUUAAUAACUCUGUAGUACAGAAUCAGCUCAGUGGCAAUUCUGAUUCUGUUAUUGAAGCCCUGUGUUGAGUUACAGUGUCCAUUGCUACUAAAAGACCAGUGGCAGCAAACAAGGAAAAGGUGAGAGCCUGUGAAUGAACUGAGCUCUGGACAUCUUGUCUUGCUUUCUCUUUGCAAAUUCAAUUGUGUGUUUUAAUUAUUACUGAGAUAUACAUGUGGCUAUGGAGAAAGCAGAUGCCUAUUCAGUCAAGCAAAUGAAGUAUAUUGACAAAGACAAUAGUUGGAAGGAGCAGCUAACAGUAGUAGAAGGAUCUUUACCCAUUCAGAAGAUGGGGAAGGUAUUUAUUCCCCUGGUCUGCUUUAGCAUUAGCUUUAGCAUCUCAUUUAAGUGCUCUGACUCAAUGCACAAGAGUUGACUGCCUCUCUUCAUUGACUAGGCAGGGAACUCAGGCCUUUCACUUUGAUCUGUUGAAUCAUUCCUAAGCUAGAUACCUGGCAUGGGCAUGCAUAUAUAGCAUGAAAACCUGCCAGGAUGUAUAUUUUUAUCAGUGAGGCCAUGGUACAAAUUUGGAACAAAUACAUACAAAUCCCUAAAUGAAGAUUGGAUACUUUUAAAAACAUCUUCCAGAAAGUGUCAAGGAACCCUCCAGUGAAAUCCUAUGGGGUUGUGUCAUACCAGUAGUCAUAGUGGAAGAAGAAAAUGGUCCCUUUGGCCUUAGAAUGAAUAUGAAAAUCACUGUAAGCUGCUCACAAGUCCCUUAAGUUCACUCAUUCCAGACCAUGGGGAGCAGAAUGCAGCAUGUUCAUGCUGUGUCUUGGCUCCAUCAUGACAGAGAAAUUUAGGAAAAUAAAAGCAAUCAAGAAUUUAUUAACCCCUUGGUCUCAGUUUUAUUCUCCCUCCCUUUUUAUACUGUAGACACACAUAACAUUUUAAUGGACUCAAUUAUAAGUAUGAUAGGAUGAGUUAAUAGGAUUUAUAUGCUUUGUAUAUACUUCAUAAAUUCUGAAGCACUAAAAUGUAUUGGAGUUAUAGAUAAAUUAUAUGAAGAAGGUAGUGAAUUGAAUAAUAGAAAGAAUAAUAGGAAAACAGUAAUUGAAAAACCUAUAAACUCCAUCAAUGCGUGCCCUUCCUUUCUUAAUUUGUAAUAAUAAUGUAGUGGAUAAAUCAAUCAAGGAUAUUACCACAAUAGGUGACUUAAAAUGUUCUCUUCUAACUAGAUUUCUUGUGAGUUCAUUCUAAUUCCGCACACUGAGUGAAUUAAGGAUGGAGUCAGACAGUGUUCUGUAUUGAGCCGAGCUGCUCUGGAGUGGGGCCGAAUUAGUGUAAUUGGGAGCAGAAUUUGGCCUUCAGCUCUCACUCACUGUGCAGGGAAGGAGAGGGGAGAUAGACACUGCCCAGAUUUGCCUACAGUGCUAUAACUCAAGGCUUGCGCAGAAUGAAACCCCGAACCCAAGUGCCUCAGCUACAUCCAUAAUGCAUAAGCUGCUAAGCGUUAUGAAGAGUGCUCUGCUUGUUGGGUAGCUGCAGAAUAACAUGGCUAACAGAUGUUGUGCUUCUAAAGCAGUUGAACUCCUGAGUGUGCUUUUAUCUUCUGAUCUGCAGCGCACUGUGGCUCCCCCACUAGUGCAUACACAAGGCAGACAGAUUAGCGUUAAUUAGAGAGAGACUUUGCUCAUUUUUCAUUGCCAGUUUCAAUUUUGGGGAAGUUAAUGUUUCUCUCCUUUACAAUUUCAAAUAAGGGCAAUUUAGUAUAUGCAAGUGUUUGCAGUUUUAGGCAUUAAUCGGUCUUGCUUCUGCUUAAAUUGUCAGGCAUAGGUCUGGAUGUCAAGCACUGAACUGGAUGAAGGCUGGUGAAGAGGAGCAAGGAGAGCAGGGUCAGGCCCUGGCCAUGCUUGGGGCCAUCUGUAGGAUGGGGCUCUUAGGGGGCAAGCAGGAGGAGCUAAGGAGCUGUGCCAUUUUCUCACGUGGGUUAGUGAGGAGAAAUGUUAAUUGAGUAUUCCUUCUAGGACAUUACAGAGCUUGAUGAAAGCAUUUUGCAGUGCCUCUUGUAAUGAAAGAGGAAAGGGAGCUUUCUCCACCUUCUGACCCCCCUCCCUGAAGCACCAAUGCAAAGGAGGAUUUAUUGCUUCAUUAGCAGCGUGAUCAUGCUUUACAGCGAGUAUUAAAAUAUUGGCUUACUGGGUUAUUUAGGAAAUAACUCUUCCCGCAGUUAUCCCCUCUCCCACUGCCACCACACCCCCACUUCAUGUCAUAUGUUUUUGUCACUUACCCAUCAGGUUCAAAAUAUCGUUAAUUCCCUUUUUACAGUAAUAGGACACUGGCAACAGAACAAAUAUUUUUAGGUUGAGAGUAUGCUACAGAACUGUAAUGUGGGCAGAGUAAAUUGAAAUCCAAGCAAAACCAAAUUCCAAUCGUUCUUCAGAUUCCCAGGCAGACUGAGACAUCUUUUGCAGUUCAUUGAUCUUUUAACUUGGGCUUAGACAUCAUUCCCAGACAAAGGGAGCAAGUUGCCAGGUGGUGAAGGCUAUGCCCUCUGUUCUGGUUGGUUCCUUUCUUUCCUCAACUGAGUAUUUCAUGUUGUGAGAAUAUGGCAGAGCCUCUACUAUGCCUGGGUUAACCUAACCCUGCUAUUUAGCGCUGUACAAUGGUGUUUUAUCAGAUGACGUAAAUUUGCUUUAUCUGAUACCUCCUUGAAUAUGUCAGUGGUAGAAAACAAUGUUUCAAAGCAGUAAUUCUGGUAGUCUCAUGAGUGUUGCUUUCUUCUGUCAUUAAUUUCAAUUAUGUUGUGUUAGAUUUCCAGAGCAGCUGUCCAGCAAUGAGGCUCUGUAGGCCACCAUGCCUUGGCACUUGAAAUUGUAGUUUUGUUUUGAAAAGUGAAUUUUUUUAUUCGGUAUAUAUACUGCCUAUGUGCUUUUGAGUCUUAUUUGCUUACUUUCCUGAUACAAACACAUUUUUACUACUGAUACCAUCACAGUGCCAAUAUACCUCCAAGCUGCAGGGUGACCUGUAAUCUGCUCUGUCUCAUGUAGCCUCAUGAAAAUUGUCAGCGGUGCUUUAAUUGUUGAUGAUAUUUUGGCCCAAAUGCUUGGAAAGGACUCAGCUUGGCAUCCAUCCACAAAAACAAACAAACAAACAAAAAAACCCCACACAACUGUGACAGUAUAUUUUUAAUGUGCUAGGAGGCAAUUCACUACUUGGUACUGACUGGUUUUGUCACGAGUGAACAGUCUUUGAUGCUACCAGAGCAGCAGGCUGAAAAGCCAGGGUUCAGGACACUUCUUUGGUGAACCUCAGGGGUAUUCAGUGGAUGCAUAUGCUCACUCUCUGAAGUGGCUUCAGAGAGAACAUCCUUGCAGGCUUUCUCCAUUUGUAUGAGCUUUCGUUUUACUGAAUACUCCAUGUCACCUACCUGUUUCUAUUUUUUUUCUCUUGAACUCUUAGGGCUGCUCUGCACACACAGUGUCUUAUUAGCAAAAGACAUGUUUGUUUUGGAUCAGUAAAUGAUAGUUGCUUUGGCUCUGUAGUAAUAACUGGAAUUAUUUUUAGCAUUAAGCCAGGCUAAUUUGACAGUGAUAUUGCAGUUUAACAAAUUAACACUUCAAUUUGUCAUUUCUACCAUCUCUUAGGGAAGGGGUCUUUCUGAAGGUUACUACAAUUAGCAGUGGCAGCAGGCUCCAACAUCAUCAUUAGCAACAGUUCCUGACUUGUUAUGACUCUGAAAUGGUGCAGGCAUCAUUAAUGGCACAUGGAAAGCCUUUCUGGACGUGUUCUUGUGUGACCUGAUCUAGGUGUUUCUGCUUUGGCAGAGGGAUUGGACUAGAUGAUAUUUGAGGCCCCUUCCAAACCCUGACAUUCUGUAAUUCUGUGAUUUUUGACAGUAUGGAAACAUCUGAGCUAUGACCGCACAUGCCAGAAUGCAAAACAGCACCUCAGAACUCUUCUGCUACUUCUAUUCUUACUGAAGAUGAGUACUAUUCUCAGCUGUAUUUCACCACUGGUAACUCUAUUACUAUCUCUUGCUUUGCUUUUUAGGACAUCUUUUUUGCAUCUAGGUCGCUAUACUAAGAAAUAAGAUGUGCUAAAGCCAAUUUGCUGACUUGGAAGCCAACGGUUGUGUCAGUUUCUGCCACAGUAUUAAACUUGCUUUUCCAUCAAAGCCUGGCAACCCGAUUCAAACAGCCUGUUGGGAACAUGGGGUCAGGCAGUAUGAUAAUACACAGUGUGGGCAAUGACGUGCAAAUGCUGGAGCCCAUGACCUGGUCCUGUUUAGCUUACCAGCAUAGCUAUAGACCUUGAGGGCAAAUAAUUUACGUGUCUCUAAUAUCUUGAUCUGUAUCUGGUAUAUCUCAAGAGAGCCCUUCGCUUUGAACACCAGACAGAAAACUUGAGGGCCCACUUGACUGUUGCAGUGGCCUAUACAUUGAGUUUCCUCACUGAAGACUGAUGAUACAUCUCUGAUGUGUGACCACAUUUGGAGAACCCAGAUCUCAACAGUACAGCUGGUCAAAGCUUUCUCAUUCAUGCCUUAUGCCAUCCAUCUUAUUAUUGGCACUGGCUUUCGUACAGCCCUCUAUUUUUACUAAGAGAGCUGCAUUACUACAUUAUCAAGCAUUUCAGAUACAGUCAGGAGUGGAGCUGGAGCUGAUCUGUCUCACUGCAGCGGCUCAGAAGAUGGACCAGCCUGGCUAUAGCUUUUCCAUUCUUCCCCUAUUUCUUGCUCAUGAUAUGGUGACUGCUGUUUAAGUGCUUUGGGGAAGUUCCAAAAAAUCCUCCAAGAUCUGCAUAGAGGAGUAUAAAAUCCAAGCAAAUUUUUUCCCUUUGUCCCUUCCGUUUCCACAUCAAAGCUCCCUGCAGUGGGAGGGCAUCCAAAUCUCUCAGUAUCCUUAUGGGAAAUGAUGAAAAGGUUCCACAGGGCAUACCUCAUGGUACAGGAUGCAGAGUCCUGUUCCAGGUAAGUGCACAUGAGAUUGAGUUUGUAGGAGCUGUCUGCUGCUUUGACAACAGCAGGGAGGCAGAUACAUUCAGGCCCUGGCAACACCGUGGUCCUUAGGCUAUGCUAGUUUAUCUCUGCCUCACUUCUUCAGCUGUAAAAGUGUGAGGGUUGGUUGGUCUGGGGCUGAUCAUGGGACAGCAGAUGAGCAGGGCCCAAGAUGAAUGCUAGUGGGGGCCUGCAGGAUGCGUUUAGUCAAAACACAUUUGAUUAUCACCGUGUUGUCAUUUUUGUUGUUUCUAUGGUUGAGAAUAAUUGGCUUUAAUUUAAGAGGGCCCUGAGCACUAGCUUAUGAUCAAGAAUCAGGAAACUCAUUUGAUUUUUUUGUAUUUUGUUAAAAUGGAUUUUCUCCAGCUAACCAUAUCCUGUAGCAGCACAGUUCUAUUUCCUAGCAGUACAAAACUUUGGAAGGUAAAGUUCACCCACUGGACAAGAUAAUCAUCUCAUUUUUAGUGGCAUAAAAGUGUCCAUAGAUAAUGAUAAUUAAUAUUUAGCUGAAGACGUGCUAUAUCAGGUCUCAGAAUAACUUUAAUGUAAAGGAUGAUGUCAGAUUUUGGCCAACCAGAAGUAAAGUACCUGUUGCAGGAAUGAAAACAAAUCAGUGUCAGCAUGUCAUCAGUCACAAUGUGCAUUUUGCUCUUCCUUUUCGUAAUCUUUCUUUAAAUGGACUUUUGGUUUCUGAAACUAUUUCUCAUAGGAUAAAUGGUAUGAUGCGAUUAAGGCAUUAACUAUAAGACAAACCUUCCAGUAGUAAUGCCUUCUAUUUAUUUUCAUGGAAAUUACAACAGAUACAAUGAGCAUAGUAACUCUGUUUG
Molecule: long non-coding RNA, 32759 nt
Filed under: Gallus gallus (chicken)
Lineage: Eukaryota; Metazoa; Chordata; Aves; Galliformes; Phasianidae
Source: RNAcentral